AUUGAACGCUGGCGGCGUGCCUUACACAUGCAAGUCGAACGGCAGCGGACCUUCGGGUGCCGGCGAGUGGCGAACGGGUGAGUAAUAUAUCGGAACGUACCUUUCAGUGGGGGAUAACGUAGCGAAAGUUACGCUAAUACCGCAUAUUCUGUGAGCAGGAAAGCAGGGGAUCGCAAGACCUUGCGCUGAUUGAGCGGCCGAUAUCAGAUUAGCUAGUUGGUGAGGUAAAGGCUCACCAAGGCGACGAUCUGUAGCGGGUCUGAGAGGAUGAUCCGCCACACUGGAACUGAGACACGGUCCAGACUCCUACGGGAGGCAGCAGUGGGGAAUAUUGGACAAUGGGGGCAACCCUGAUCCAGCCAUGCCGCGUGUGUGAAGAAGGCCUU
Molecule: ribosomal RNA, 386 nt
Filed under: uncultured bacterium
Lineage: Bacteria
Description: bacterial SSU rRNA
Rfam family: Bacterial small subunit ribosomal RNA
Source: RNAcentral